CGUGGCGAACGGGUGCGUAACACGUGGAUAACCUUCCUUCAGGUGGGGAAUAACCCAGUGAAAAUUGGGAUAAUACCGCAUAACAAGACGGGGGCACAUGCUCUUGUCUUCAAAGGCGCAAGUCGCCGGAAGAGGGAUCCGCGGCCGAUUAGCUUGUUGGCGGGGUAAAGGCCCACCAAGGCAAUGAUCGGUAGCCGGUCUGAGAGGAUGGCCGGCCACACUGGAACUGAGACACGGUCCAGACUCCUACGGGAGGCAGCAGUGGGGAAUCUUGCGCAAUGGGCGAAAGCCUGACGCAGCGACGCCGCGUGGGGGAUGAAGCUUCUCGGAGUGUAAACCCCUUUCGACCCGGACGAAAGCCCGCAAGGGCCUGACGGUACGGGUAUAAGAAGCCCCGGCUAACUACGUGCCAGCAGCCGCGGUAAAACGUAGGGGGCCAGCGUUGCUCGGAAUUACUGGGCGUAAAGAUGCCGUAGGCGGUGUGGCAAGUCGGUAGUGAAAUCUCUCGGCUUAACUGAGAGGCUGCUGCCGA
This 532-nucleotide ribosomal RNA is filed under the name uncultured bacterium. Its description in RNAcentral is "bacterial SSU rRNA". It matches the Rfam family "Bacterial small subunit ribosomal RNA", at positions 94 to 630 of the family's 1533-position model. The record is from RNAcentral.